This 586-nucleotide ribosomal RNA is filed under the name uncultured bacterium. RNAcentral describes it as "bacterial SSU rRNA". It matches the Rfam family "Bacterial small subunit ribosomal RNA", at positions 102 to 686 of the family's 1533-position model. The record is from RNAcentral.
ACGGGUGAGUAACGCGUAUGCAACCUACCCAUAACAGGGGGAUAGCUUUCGGAAACGGAAAUUAAUACCCCAUAGGAUUUUAAUGCCGCAUGGUAUAAAGAUUAAAACUACGGUGGUUAUGGAUGGGCAUGCGUGCCAUUAGCUAGUUGGCGGGGUAAAGGCCCACCAAGGCGACGAUGGCUAGGGGGUCUAAAAGGAUGAUCCCCCACACUGGUACUGAGACACGGACCAGACUCCUACGGGAGGCAGCAGUGAGGAAUAUUGGUCAAUGGGCGAGAGCCUGAACCAGCCAUCCCGCGUGCAGGAAGACGGCCCUAUGGGUUGUAAACUGCUUUUUUAUGGGAAGAAAAAGCUCUACGUGUAGGGCACUGACGGUACCAUAUGAAUAAGCAUCGGCUAACUCCGUGCCAGCAGCCGCGGUAAUACGGAGGAUGCAAGCGUUAUCCGGAUUUAUUAGGUUUAAAGGGUGUGUAGGCGGAAGAUUAAGUCAGUGGUGAAAUCUCACAGCUUAACUGUGAAACUGCCAUUGAUACUGGUUUUCUUGAGUAUAGUUGAAGUAGGCGGAAUGUGUAAUGUAGCGGUGAAA